Molecule: ribosomal RNA, 105 nt
Filed under: Clostridium botulinum
Lineage: Bacteria; Bacillati; Bacillota; Clostridia; Eubacteriales; Clostridiaceae
Description: partial 16S ribosomal RNA
Rfam family: Bacterial small subunit ribosomal RNA
Source: RNAcentral
UUUUAAAUUUAGAGUUUGAUCCUGGCUCAGGACGAACGCUGGCGGCGUGCUUAACACAUGCAAGUCGAGCGCUGAAACUUCCUUCGGGACGUGGAUUAGCGGCGG